Molecule: long non-coding RNA, 839 nt
Organism: Dalotia coriaria
Lineage: Eukaryota; Metazoa; Arthropoda; Insecta; Coleoptera; Staphylinidae
Exons: 2
Source: RefSeq, a predicted model, not a curated record
AUUUCGCUUGUCCUGCUGUCACAUCUGGGGGCUGUCGACUGAUUUAUGUCGCUCCUUAUUCAACGGUGCUUCAACUGCCGAGUUAGCCGUCUAACUCAACCGUAGCCGCCGCCACAAUACGCACGAGCUACUUUAUGUUCAUUUAAAGUUUGUUUUAUGAACUACCCUGGGCGUCAUAUUUAUUUAUAUGCCUCAACCGGCAAAACCGACAAAAGUUGCGUGUCAACUUGCUGUGAACACAAAGUAUACAUUUGUUUAUUAUACACAUUUGCAGUGAUGAUAACUAUCAACAAAUCAAGAUCUAGUUAUGACGGAACCAUUCUUGCGGAAUGAACCUCAAAUUAAACUCCUGUCCUUAUUUUCAAUGGCCGACGUAACAAGAUAGCGACUUGAAGCGCUCGAACUCGACGCUCAACUCAAUUCUGCUGCGUGAUUAUGCGCUGAAGCUUCGUGAGUUUUGUAAGACGAACGCGAUUGGAAUUCAUGUUACGCGUAGUUAUUAACUGAAUGGCGAAGUGGAUGAACUAUUUCUAAAGUUACAUGGUUACCUACUUAUUAUAGUUAUUAUCUUGGUUUGCAAUUAGUUCAAGUUGGAACAACUUUUGUGCUGACUUUGUAUAUAGUUCUUAAUUUAUACGAACACAACUUACUGAAAAGUUAUUUAGGUUUUGGAUUAUCCUCUCGUUUUAAUUAAACUAGGGUCUCAUUAAUUGAAGAUUGUUUGUGUACAUUAUUCUUCACUCAAUAUUUUAAAGGAUGACAAAGUUUUCGGAUACAUUUUGUAUGGAAUAAUAUAAAAUAAAAUGGCAAAUGAAAUAAAGUCAAAAUAAAAACAAAAA